Molecule: long non-coding RNA, 233 nt
Filed under: Elaeis guineensis (African oil palm)
Lineage: Eukaryota; Viridiplantae; Streptophyta; Magnoliopsida; Arecales; Arecaceae
Description: long non-coding RNA (EGUI_LNC005305)
Source: RNAcentral
AGGCCACGCCAUCGCCCGUCUCCGACGCCGGAGCCCCCUCUCCGUCGGGCAGGAAUUCGGGCUCCUCCGGCCAACCGCCGGCCUGCACCGGACGCGAUGAAGAGCUGCUGGCCGCCGCUUGGGCGGUGCCUUCCUGAGGUACCGACGGGGAUGGACCAGGCCUCUUCCCCUUGCCUGGGCUCCGAGCCCAUUUCAGAUGGGCCGGGCUGGAUCCCGAUUCCACCAUGGGCAGG